This 239-nucleotide ribosomal RNA is filed under the name uncultured soil bacterium. Its description in RNAcentral is "partial 16S ribosomal RNA". It matches the Rfam family "Bacterial small subunit ribosomal RNA", at positions 26 to 265 of the family's 1533-position model. The record is from RNAcentral.
AGAUUGAACGCUGGCGGCAUGCCUUACACAUGCAAGUCGAACGGCAGCACGGGAGCAAUCCUGGUGGCGAGUGGCGAACGGGUGAGUAAUACAUCGGAACGUGCCCAAUCGUGGGGGAUAACGCAGCGAAAGCUGUGCUAAUACCGCAUAAGAUCUACGGAUGAAAGCAGGGGAUCGGCAAGACCUUGCGCGAAUGGAGCGGCCGAGUGGCAGAUUAGGUAGUUGGUGAGGUAAAGGCU